This 74-nucleotide transfer RNA is filed under the name bacterium. Its description in RNAcentral is "tRNA-Leu". It matches the Rfam family "tRNA". Rfam says of the family: Transfer RNA (tRNA) molecules are approximately 80 nucleotides in length. Their secondary structure includes four short double-helical elements and three loops (D, anti-codon, and T loops). Further hydrogen bonds mediate the characteristic L-shaped molecular structure. tRNAs have two regions of fundamental functional importance: the anti-codon, which is responsible for specific mRNA codon recognition, and the 3' end, to which the tRNAs corresponding amino acid is attached (by aminoacyl-tRNA synthetases). tRNAs cope with the degeneracy of the genetic code in two manners: having more than one tRNA (with a specific anti-codon) for a particular amino acid; and 'wobble' base-pairing, i.e. permitting non-standard base-pairing at the 3rd anti-codon position. The record is from RNAcentral.
GUCCACGUAGCCCAACUGGCAGAGGCGCGGCGUUCAGAUCGCCGAGGUUGAGAGUUCGAAUCUCUCCGUGGACA